AUCACUGACCCUUUUGUUAAAUUAGACUUUUGUUUGAAGGAAGAGAAGAUUAAUCCACGUAACAAACAUAAAUUUGGCUUUUGAACAAUGUCAGGGUAGCAGGUGAUGAAAGGUACAUAUCCAAUAAAGGAAUCCCUUAAUGUUCCAACUCAGUUCUGACACAUAAUGCUGAAUUACCACUUUUCCAGAUGGUUGCGUUUUUCAAAAUUCAGUAACCAUUGUUUCUUUGAGAUAUUCCUCUGAGAAAGUGAUCCACAUUUAAUAUUUUGAAGUCAGCUUGAAAAGUUAACCAGGCAUGACUAAAACUGAACUGCAAUUGGAUAGCUGUCAGAAGAAAGCUGGGAUGGUUUUACGCUGAAAAGUUAUCUCUUGGGGUCAAGCUGUCCAGUUGUUGGUUUUGCAACUGGGCUUAGUUUGUCCGUGGACCUCCUGUUUUGACUCUGAGUCACCCUUGUGAACUGACGGAGAGUUUGCAAACAGCCAGUUAUCAGGUGGUUCUGCAGAAUUGUUUUUUUGAGGUAAACCAGGUUUUCCUAUGUGUAACUAGGAUCCUAACUUUCCCGACCAUGAUGUUUUUUCCCUUCUGUUCCUGUAUCUUUCUUCCUUGGGUUUCAAUACACCAAUGCAGAGAGGUCCACAAAACCGUCUGAACAAAAUGGGCAUGAAAGGUAUAGCCAUAUGCAACUGUGCCUGUUUGAGAAUUGAUAAUUAAUACUGUAUAAAUUUCAGCUUUUCACAGUUCACUUUACUGGUUAAGACUUGUGAGUUGAGUUGUUCCAUAUGUGGUGUAUAUGAUUGCUUUUGCUCAUGAAAAGAAAGCCAAUUCACAGGUCUUAACAUAGCUAAACAAAACAUUGAAUAACUUCAGUCCUUUUUGAAAAGGACUAAACUUGGAAGAACAUUUUUAACUAAAUUGGAUAGGUUAUAUUAAUAUUGUGGUAUAGGGCCCAGUUCAUCCUUGGUUAUCUGUUUAAUGAGGUUGGGAAAGGAGCGACUAGAAUAAUAAAGAUGGGAGAAGUCCUUGAUUCUGAAGAGUGUUAACACAGGAAUAAGACAGUCCUGGGCAGGGGUAGUAAACCAUGCGUGAUCAGGACUUGGUGCUGAUACUUAACAUGUUAGCGUACAUUCUGCACAUUGUGUCAAAAAGACUUAACCAGGUUAUUGAAAAUAAAAUAUUACC
RNAcentral lists this long non-coding RNA (1180 nucleotides) under Bos taurus (domestic cattle). RNAcentral's name for it is "long non-coding RNA NONBTAT016302". The record is from RNAcentral. Lineage: Eukaryota; Metazoa; Chordata; Mammalia; Artiodactyla; Bovidae.